AGUGGUUCUUGGGUGACCCACACCGGAAUCGGGCUCACUGCUCUCUGGUUCCGGGUGCGUCACCGAGAAUGACA
Myotis davidii is the source of this 74-nucleotide non-coding RNA. The record is from Rfam. Lineage: Eukaryota; Metazoa; Chordata; Mammalia; Chiroptera; Vespertilionidae.